This 666-nucleotide long non-coding RNA is filed under the name Homo sapiens (human). Its description in RNAcentral is "uncharacterized LOC105370203 (LOC105370203)". The record is from RNAcentral. Lineage: Eukaryota; Metazoa; Chordata; Mammalia; Primates; Hominidae.
AGAGGGCUGCCCCUCGGCCGGUGACCGAGUUAAGCACCGAGCUGUAAAUCGCUUGAGACCUGUAUUUGGUUGUUUUGUUGGUUUUGCCAAGUAAGGUCACUUGAGGAUUUCUUGGCUCGAGGUCCCAGGUUGCGCAGACUCUGACUGCAUCGAGUUGAGAAUUUUGGUCAGAAUGUUAAAGUGGAAACCUACCCCAGGCUGUCAUGACUUUUGCAUUCUGGUAACCAACUGAUCCUACCCGGACCCAUGAUGCAUAACUCAGCUGGUCCUGUGGCGCACACCCAGAGGCCGACUCAAUGCAUGAAGACUGUUUUCCACACCCCUAUGAUUUCAUCCCCAACCAAGCAGCAGCAUCCAUUCCCUAGCCCCCUGCCCACCAAAUUAUCCAUAAAAACUCUGGCUUCUGAGUUCUCAGCAAAACUGAUUUUAGUAAUAACUCCAGUUCUUCCACUUGGCUGGCCUUAGUUAAUUAAACUUAUUCUUUACUAUAGUACCGUGUUCCCAGUGAAUUGGUUUUGUCUGUGUAGCAGGCAGGACAACCCAUCAGGCAAUCACACAGUUACUCUGCAGUGCUUCUUUUUAUUUUGCUUUUCAAACAAAUUUCAAAUAUUAUUAGAUUGAAAUAAACUAUACAAAUAGCUUUUCCUCACAAAAAAAAAAAAAAAA